This is a non-coding RNA of Anas platyrhynchos (mallard), 1825 nucleotides long. The record is from RefSeq and is a predicted model, not a curated record. Lineage: Eukaryota; Metazoa; Chordata; Aves; Anseriformes; Anatidae.
CAGUUCCUGGUGCCACGUGGAAGUUUUCCCGUCCAGCAAGCAGCGAGGGGAUUUCCCCUGGGACCGGAUCCCCCUGGUGCACCCAGAGCUGCCACCGCUAGCUCGGUUGAAGGGGAUCCCUGUGCCCAAGGCUCCGGGCGAUGGAUGGGAGCUGCCAGCCCCGCAGCAGAGGUGUUGGUGUCAUUGAUCAGCUCCAGCACUGAUUUCCCCCUCUUCUCCCUGCUAUAUUUUCAUCUUGGCUGGGGAACAAAUGAAUAUAAGUGGCCGGCACCGUGUGCCUGGAGGCGGUGGGGCUGUGGGGUUUCCCUGGGCGUGUUGACCAAAAGCAUCCCCUCGUCCUUCCAUCCGUGGUGGAGAGCUGAGCAUCACCCAGCCCCGUGCCCUGUGUCUCCAGGGGUGAAGAGGCUGCAUGGAUGUGGGGAUGAAUGAUACUGGGGUGGGGAUUGGGGUCGCAAUUUUAAGUGGUUUGCAAAGCCCGCCGUGAGCUGGAGAAGGCACCGGUGGCUUCCUCGGGACACAUCCCGUGCUCAGUGCCCACAUGGGGCUGAUCCUAAAGCGCAUCCCAGCCUGGUGGUGCUGGGGCUGCUCUCUGCAUCAGCCCCCAAGAAAGGAGCCACAGCUGGAGGAUUUGCAGUCCCCAUGGGCUCCUGCUUGGGCACAGCCCCACAGCCACCUCCUCUGCCCCACCACGAAGAUUUUGCAGUGGAUGGCAGGGAGGAUGGAGAGGUGGGAGAGGAGCUGGAGGAGGAAACGGAUUCGAGAACCUGGAGCUGAUGGAGGAAAGCAGCCUGGGGAGAGGACACAUGGGAACAAGAUGGGGAAGGGAUGGACGGAUGCUCAGGACUAGAUAAAAAAUGAGGAAGAAAGUAGGAAAGCUGUGCACAGACACGGUCACCUCCUGACCCUCAGCCUCCCCAAAAUUUAAGAGUAGCUUCCCGGUGAGCCCCCUGCAGACCCCAGACCUGCUCCCCCCAAACCCAAACUGCCGUGAGGACCUGGCACAAUGGCAUCCUGGAGGCUCAGCUCUCUGCGGCCCCAAAUCCCCCCAUUAACUGGGGUUUUCCAGCACCCAAUUCUGGAAAGACUGAGCUGCUGGCUUGCCCGAAGGAGCUGCGGAGGUGGGAAGCCCCCCAGCAGGGCAUCUCCAGCCCUUCCCUCCCCGAUUUUUUUGGCAGGGAGGCAGGCAGGACCGGCGGUGCCACGCAGGGGGCCGAGCCCCCCCCGCCCUCCCCAGGUUUCUCUCUGUAUCUGCCAAGCACACACGCUUGGUCCGGGGCCAGUUUGAACCCAAACUCCGAAUCGCAAAGAGCCAGGGAGAAUUUUUAGCGCACCAGAAGCCUUGAUUUUCAGCCAGCUGUUUCCCCCAGUGUCAUUCAACUGAUAAAGGGAAAAGCCAGGGCUGGCAUUAGGAAAAGCAUCUCGUAAGCUGCAAAACCAGCAGAAAAGACUCCGUUGCCAGGCUUGUGGGGCGACAGACACUUAAUUUAGUGCAGUCCAGGGAUUUUUUUUAUUUUUUUUUCCUUCAAUGUUAGUGGAAAAUCCUGAUUCAUCAAAAACCACAAUUCUUUGAAAGAAUGGGUCAGUCCCACCUGACGUUUUCACUCAAUUUAAAGAAAACCCAAACCAAUAAAACCGAAUCAGAUGACAUUUUGUACCCAAUCUCUUCCAAAAGGGAAGAAAUUAUUCGCUGCUCAUCCCAAAUGUCUUUUGAGUGUUAAGUGUGUGGCUGCUUAUGGUAAAAAGAGAUGGAAACUCCAAAUUUGCAGAACUGUCAGAAGCUGUUUCCAUGACCCCACGAGGAGGUUUAGGUCAGUCUGAAGGGCAC